UACAGAGGGUGCAAGCGUUGUUCGGAAUUAUUGGGUGUAAAGCGCGUGUAGGCGGCUUGGCAAGUCGGGUGUGAAAUCCCUCAGCUCAACUGAGGAAGUGCGCCCGAAACUGCUUAGCUUGAGUGCCGGAGAGGAUGGCGGAAUUCCCCAAGUAGAGGUGAAAUUCGUAGAUAUGGGGAGGAACACCGGUGGCGAAGGCGGCCAUCUGGACGGUAACUGACGCUGAGACGCGAAAGCGUGGGUAGCAAACAGG
Molecule: ribosomal RNA, 253 nt
Filed under: uncultured bacterium
Lineage: Bacteria
Description: partial 16S ribosomal RNA
Rfam family: Bacterial small subunit ribosomal RNA
Source: RNAcentral